RNAcentral lists this ribosomal RNA (510 nucleotides) under uncultured Erysipelothrix sp. RNAcentral's name for it is "partial 16S ribosomal RNA". Lineage: Bacteria; Bacillati; Bacillota; Erysipelotrichia; Erysipelotrichales; Erysipelotrichaceae. The record is from RNAcentral.
CACGUAGUUAGCCGUGGCUUUCUGGUAAGGUACCGUCAUAUAACGAGCAUUCCCUCUCGCUAUUAUUCUUCCCUUACAACAGAGCUUUACAACCCGAAGGCCUUCUUCACUCACGCGGCGUUGCUCGGUCAGGGUUUCCCCCAUUGCCGAAAAUUCCCUACUGCUGCCUCCCGUAGGAGUCUGGGCCGUGUCUCAGUCCCAGUGUGGCCGGUCACCCUCUCAGGUCGGCUACGCAUCAUCGUCUUGGUAAGCCGUUACCUUACCAACUAACUAAUGCGCCAUAAGCCCAUCUCAUUGUGAUGUAUCCCAUCUUUAAUUAAUCUAAGAUGCCUUAGAUUAACCUAUCCGGUAUUAGCUGACGUUUCCAUCAGUUAUCCCAGGCAUUGAGGCAGGUUGCUUAUGUAUUACUCACCCGUUCGCCACUAAGAUUCUUCAAAAGCAAGCUUUUAAAGUCUCUUCGUUCGACUUGCAUGUAUUAGGCACGCCGCCAGCGUUCAUCCUGAGCCAGGA